UACCAGCUCUCCGAGUGGUGUGGAUGUUUAUUGGGCCUAAAGCAUCCGUAGCUGGCUGGACAAGUCCCCUGUUAAAUCCACCGAUUUAAUCGUUGGUGUGCGGGGGAUACUGUUCGGCUAGGGGACGGGAGAGGCAGACGGUAUUUUUGGGGUAGGGGUGAAAUCCUAUAAUCCCAGGAAGACCACCAGUGGCGAAGGCUGUCUGCUAGAACGCGCCCGACGGUGAGGGAUGAAAGCUGGGGGAGCGAACCGGAUUAGAUACCCGGGUAGUCCCAGCUGUAAACGAUGCAGGCUAGGUGUUUGGACGGCCACGUGCCGUUCUAGUGCCGCAGGGAAGCCGUUAAGCCUGCCGCCUGGGGAGUACGGCCGCAAGGCUGAAACUUAAAGGAAUUGGCGGGGAGCACCACAAGGGGUGAAGCUUGCGGUUU
This 428-nucleotide ribosomal RNA is filed under the name uncultured archaeon. Its description in RNAcentral is "bacterial SSU rRNA". It matches the Rfam family "Archaeal small subunit ribosomal RNA", at positions 474 to 903 of the family's 1478-position model. The record is from RNAcentral.